GAUGAACGCUGGCGGCGUGCCUAAUACAUGCAAGUCGAGCGGACAGACGAUGAUCUUGCUCCGCUGACGAUAGCGGCGGGCGGGAGAGUAACAUGUGGAUACCCUCCCUAUAAUACUGAGAUAACUUCGGGAAAGCGGAGAUUAUAGCGGAUAAUAUAUUGAACCGUGUGGGUCAAUGGAGAAAUACGGCUUUGCGGGAACGUCUAGAUGCAUCCGGGCCGCAUGAGGUAGUUGGUAAGGUAACGGCUUACGAAGGCAACCAUGCGUAGACGACGUGCUAGAGUGGUCGGCCACAUGAGAACGGAGACAGCGACCAGAGUACUGCGGGAGGCAGCAGUAGCGAAUCUUCCGCAAUGGGCGAAAGCCUGACGGAGCAGCGCCGCGUGAGAGAUGAAGGUCUUCGGAGCGGAAAACUCUGUUAUGAGUGAAGAACAAAUGUGUAAGUAACUAUGCACGUCUUGACGGUACCUACUCAGAAAGCCACGGCUAACUACGUG
RNAcentral lists this ribosomal RNA (497 nucleotides) under uncultured bacterium. Its description in RNAcentral is "partial 16S ribosomal RNA". It matches the Rfam family "Bacterial small subunit ribosomal RNA", at positions 28 to 507 of the family's 1533-position model. The record is from RNAcentral.